RNAcentral lists this unclassified non-coding RNA (2063 nucleotides) under Acanthaster planci (crown-of-thorns starfish). RNAcentral describes it as "transmembrane protein 218-like, transcript variant X1". Lineage: Eukaryota; Metazoa; Echinodermata; Asteroidea; Valvatida; Acanthasteridae. The record is from RNAcentral.
UUGCGAAGAACGCUGUGUUUUGGUAUCGCCGGGAAGUCAAAACACGAUUCUCUCAUCAUAUUGCGUCAAAAUUACCCGUAGUAUAAUGAUGAAGUACCACCGUGGCCACAUGGAGUGCCUUCCUGAAUUGUAAAACUUGAUCACCCUUCACCAUGGCUCUCGUCUUCGGCAUCGGUGCUGGCCUGUUCACCCUAGCCAUCAUAUGGGGCUUCUCUCUACUGAUGUCCAUCAUCUUGUCCAGGGCUUCCGGGGGUGCCAAGUAUGGAGGCAUUGCUUUGGUAGUGUUGGCUGGUUUGAUUACAGUCAUCCUAAUCAUCUACCCCAAAGAAGGAGUCAACCCUGAACCAGACACACGGAUAACAGACCGAAUGUUCUGGCCGAGAAUCAUCAUUUUGACAGUCAUCAGUAUAUUUGCCCUGCUCUGCCUUGUCUUCAUGUUCAUAUUUCAUUGGACGGAACCCAUCUAUGCCAAGCCCAUCAAGAGCCGAAGAUUCUGAGCCUGUCAACCUGACUCAGACUGGCAGUAAAGUGAGACUCAGCAUCAAAUCAACACCUCAUGAAGGCAUAGACCUCUCGGAAGUGACACCAGUUACAUGUAUAUCUUGAAAGCAGUUUCUGGGGUCAAGAGAUGAGUAUUGCUGAGGUGACGUCGUAUUACCGAUGGCAAUUUACAGCUGCCUGCACUUGUUGUCAUCCGUCAUGGGUGUAGGGAGUAUUUUGUACAGCUAUGGAGCCCUGGAUCAUAAACCUUAUAAUCACGGCCGGCCCAAUCUGGGCUUGAAUGGAUUCCCUCGAGCAGGACUUGAAAUAUCCUACCAUCACGUCAUUCACCUGUUCUAAUCGGAUGUGCUGCUGUUGAAAGCUACCCAAGAACAUCAAAGCCCAAUGCAGAGAACUGACACGUAUGUGACAAGCAACAAGUGGCUUGGAAACAAAAGUGGACUUUGUGCACGUAGUGGCCAUUUGAGAUCCUGCUUCCUGAAUCCUCUUGACUUAUUGAGCCCUCAGUAAUGGGAAGGUGCCUAUUGUACUGUGACUCCAGGGUUUGCCUCACUUUGAACAAUUGUUUUCAUUUCAGCCACUACUCAACUACUUUUAACAGAACUUUGCUGUUCCUACAAACCUUUUUUAAUGUAUUCAAAUUGCAUUGUAACCAUUCCUGCAGUAUGAGCUACUGUUAUGCAUACAUAUAGUUUCAGCAAUUGUGGAAACAGCCAAAUUUCUGUUAGUGAUGAGUAGGAUCGUCAGCUUGGGGUAAGCACAGGAACUUUCAUUUCUACAUAUCAUGAGUUCAACUUCUGGCUGGGGGAACUCGGUGUGGUCUUGAUAUGCGUGUUUAGGAUAGGAAAGUGACACUUCAGAGACAGAGUUCUAAUGACCUUCCCCCACACUAAACACCAAUGUUUACUUACAAUGAAGAAUUUUGUACAAGGAAAAUUGCUUUCCAAAGUAUUUUGUAAAUUAUGCCCCGCCCUGGCAAAAAAAGGUUCCAGUGUUCGAGAUUCGGUGCUUGACGUACGUGUAUUCAACAUAAAAACAUGUGCCCUGGGAUGGGUAACUUGUAGCAGCAUGAUCCGUUUAAUAACCCUCUCUCCAGCAUUCUACACAAGUCAAUCGAUUUUGUGCAAGGAUUUUUCAAUCCGAAUCAUAGGUGGGCUGUAGUGAUAAAUUCACCUAAAAUACUUACGAGAUUACACCAAAAAAAGCAGCAGUUCAGGUCACCAGAUUUGCAUCUACAUAUAUUCAGUUUAUUAUGUACAGAACAUUGAAACAAGUGGGGUUUUCCAAAGCUAAAACCAGUUCCCCAAAUCGUGGGUCCGUUUUUGAACCUGUUACUAAUCUUUGCUCACUUUGUACAUGUACAUGUACACCCUAACUCUUUCAACAAAAAUGCCUCCAAACAAACAAACUAUCAUGGCUAUUGUAAACAAAAACCAAUGAAAAAUAUAUGAACACUGUACGUGUGUGUUCACUACCAAAAACUUCCAUGCUAGUACAACACGUACAUGCAACAAGUAUCAUACAAGUUAGCCAAUUUACAAGGAAUAAACUCUUUUAAUCAA